GACGAACGCUGGCGGCGUGCUUAACACAUGCAAGUCGAACGGAAGGGCCCUGCUUUUGUGGGGUGCUCGAGUGGCGAACGGGUGAGUAACACGUGAGUAACCUGCCCUUGACUUUGGGAUAACUUCAGGAAACUGGGGCUAAUACCGGAUAGGAGCUCCUGCUGCAUGGUGGGGGUUGGAAAGUUUCGGCGGUUGGGGAUGGACUCGCGGCUUAUCAGCUUGUUGGUGGGGGAGUGGCUUACCAAGGCUUUGACGGGUAGCCGGCCUGAGAGGGUGACCGGCCACAUUGGGACUGAGAUACGGCCCAGACUCCUACGGGAGGCAGCAGUGGGGAAUAUUGCACAAUGGGCGGAAGCCUGAUGCAGCAACGCCGCGUGCGGGAUGACGGCCUUCGGGUUGUAAACCGCUUUCGCCUGUGACGAAGCGUGAGUGACGGUAAUGGGUAAAGAAGCACCGGCUAACUACGUGCCAGCCGCCGCAGUAA
This 484-nucleotide ribosomal RNA is filed under the name uncultured bacterium. RNAcentral describes it as "partial 16S ribosomal RNA". It matches the Rfam family "Bacterial small subunit ribosomal RNA", at positions 28 to 523 of the family's 1533-position model. The record is from RNAcentral.